CCUGCUUUACCGCCGCCGCCGCCACAGCGCCCGCUCUUUCUGAUCUUCCUCCUCCCCCACCCGCUUUCUGGGCACAUUCGGAGUUUCUGGUUCCGACCCCCGAAUCUUCUCCCCCAUCUUUCUCUCACGUAUCCGCCGCCCAUAACCGUCGCUUGCUUCGGAUUCUCCUUCCACCCACAAGCUCUAUAAAGGGCGUGAUCUCUCUCUCCCCUUCCUCCGUCCCCCUCCUCUCUCUCUCUCUUUCUCUCUCUCUCUCUCUCUCUCUCC
Molecule: long non-coding RNA, 267 nt
Filed under: Spirodela polyrhiza (greater duckweed)
Lineage: Eukaryota; Viridiplantae; Streptophyta; Magnoliopsida; Alismatales; Araceae
Description: long non-coding RNA (SPOL_LNC001806)
Source: RNAcentral